GAGCCAGGGGUCUCCGCUCCAUCAUGGAGAAGCUCUUGCUGGAGCCCAUGUUUGAGGUGCCUCAAUCUGACAUCAUUGCUGUGGAACUGACUGAGGAGGUGGUCCAGGCCAAGUGUGGGCCACGCUACAUUAGAGCUCCUCCCAAAGAAACCGAGGAAGAGUUUGACUCGGCCUCUGAGGAAGACAACUGGCCCAGACACGCCGGCGCCGCCAACAACUGAACGUGAAUCUGCUGAGUGCACAUCACGUCAUUAUUCCUGAAGACAGCAAAAUGCCAUCACUAUGGAGUCCUUCCAGCUGGACCUAAACCGAGAGCGGUGUUUGUAGAUUUUU
Sinocyclocheilus rhinocerous is the source of this 333-nucleotide long non-coding RNA. RefSeq lists it as uncharacterized. The transcript is spliced from 3 exons. The record is from RefSeq and is a predicted model, not a curated record. Lineage: Eukaryota; Metazoa; Chordata; Actinopteri; Cypriniformes; Cyprinidae.